UUCCUACGGGUGGCAGCAGUGGGGAAUUUUGGACAAUGGGGGCAACCCUGAUCCAGCCAUGCCGCGUGAGUGAAGAAGGCCUUCGGGUUGUAAAGCUCUUUCGGCUGGGAAGAAAUCGCAUCUCCUAAUACGGGGUGUGGAUGACGGUACCAGCAUAAGAAGCACCGGCUAACUACGUGCCAGCAGCCGCGGUAAUACGUAGGGUGCGAGAGUUAAUCGGAAUUACUGGGCGUAAAGCGUGCGCAGGCGGUUUCGUAAGACAGUGGUGAAAUCCCCGGGCUCAACCUGGGAACUGCCUUUGUGACUGCGAGGCUAGAGUAUGGCAGAGGGGGGUGGAAUUCCACGUGUAGCAGUGAAAUGCGUAGAGAUGUGGAGGAACACCGAUGGCGAAGGCAGCCCCCUGGGCCAAUACUGACGCUCAUGCACGAAAGCGUGGGGAGCAAACAGGAUUAGAUACCCCUGUAGUCC
RNAcentral lists this ribosomal RNA (468 nucleotides) under uncultured Azospira sp. RNAcentral's name for it is "bacterial SSU rRNA". It matches the Rfam family "Bacterial small subunit ribosomal RNA", at positions 336 to 796 of the family's 1533-position model. Lineage: Bacteria; Pseudomonadati; Pseudomonadota; Betaproteobacteria; Rhodocyclales; Rhodocyclaceae. The record is from RNAcentral.